RNAcentral lists this ribosomal RNA (253 nucleotides) under uncultured bacterium. Its description in RNAcentral is "partial 16S ribosomal RNA". It matches the Rfam family "Bacterial small subunit ribosomal RNA", at positions 524 to 777 of the family's 1533-position model. The record is from RNAcentral.
UACGGAGGGUGCAAGCGUUAUCCGGAUUCACUGGGUUUAAAGGGUGCGUAGGUGGGCAGGUAAGUCAGUGGUGAAAUCUCCGGGCUUAACCCGGAACUGCCGUUGAUACUAUUUGUCUUGAAUAUUGUGGAGGUAAGCGGAAUAUGUCAUGUAGCGGUGAAAUGCUUAGAUAUGACAUAGAACACCAAUUGCGAAGGCAGCUUACUACGCAAUGAUUGACACUGAGGCACGAAAGCGUGGGGAUCAAACAGGA